RNAcentral lists this long non-coding RNA (2634 nucleotides) under Salmo salar (Atlantic salmon). RNAcentral describes it as "lncRNA (ENSSSAG00000120032.1)". The record is from RNAcentral. Lineage: Eukaryota; Metazoa; Chordata; Actinopteri; Salmoniformes; Salmonidae.
AAUGAUUUAAACUGACUGACUACAGGUGUUGCUUUGAUAGAUAGGUCGACUGCAUCCCAAAUUAUACUCUAUUCCCUACUUUGGUAAAUUAACACUAAAUCAGAAACAUAUUUUUAAAGUCUGAAAUCCCUAAGUGACUUGGUUUAUUGAUUGUUCUCCAGUAACUGUGACAUCAGAUAAAACUAAUUCAGUCUCUCUCUAGUUAAGAUAUGGACCCAGAUAAAACUCAUUCAGUCUGUCUCUAGUUAAGAUAUGGACCCAGAUAAAACUCAUUCAGUCUGUCUCUAGUUGUUAAGAUAUGGACCCAGAUAAAACUCAUUCAGUCAGUCUCUAGUUAAGAUAUGGACCCAGAUAAAACUCAUUCAGUCUGUCUCUAGUUAAGAUAUGGACCCAGAUAAAACUCAUUCAGUCUGUCUCUAGUUAAGAUAUGGACCCAGAUAAAACUCAUUCAGUCUGUCUCUAGUUAAGAUAUGGACCCAGAUAAAACUCAUUCAGUCUGUCUCUAGUUAAGAUAUGGACCCAGAUAAAACUCAUUCAGACAGUCUCUAGUUAAGAUAUGGGCCCAGAGGUCAACUGAUAUGUUUAGCACUUUUAAAAUAAAUGUUUAGGUUAAAAGCUAAACUGACCUAAGUUCAGUGUCUUGGGGUGUCUUCAGUGGUCGCUAACCCUGGUCUAGAAGGGCUGCAGUGUGUGUGUGUGUGUGUAGGUUUUUAUUCCUGCCCGGCACUAACACACAUCAUUCAGCUAACCAAGGUUUUGAUGAUUCUGAUAAACAUAAAAGCAGGUGUGUUAGUGCUGGGCUGGACCAAAAGCCUGCACCCUGUACCUCUCCGUGACCAGGGUUGGCCAGCCUUGUCCUACAUGGUCUGAACAGAAGCACAUGUGAUGUGAGAUUCUUCCCAGGAGGUUUUCAUUGAUCAUCAGGAGGCUAUGAUAGAAUCAGAACUCUCUCAUUCUAUGGAGAGAAUUAGAAUUCUGUUCACUCCAUUCUGGAGCCUCUACUGCUACACAACCGGUUGUAUUCUGUUCUGUCACACUUCUCUUUCUCUGUUGUCUGCAAGGAGAUAUACUGUUCAUUCAAAUAUUCUCUAUUGAAUUUAAAGGCAAUAUUUUAACUUGGAUCAAUUACUGGAGAUGAUAUGAUGUAGAAAUGAAUAAAGUAUUUAAAAAUGUAAAAGAAAAUUGCAUGUCUGUUGUGUGUGUAUGUUUUCUUUGUAAAUGAAUGUCUUAUCUUUUAAAAUAUAUUAAUUCCACUACUGUUUAGAUAAUACAUUAGCUUCCAUGCCAUGCUGUGAACAUCAAGCAAAGAUAUCAGGCAGGAUAAGGUGGUUGAGGAGGUGUUUAGUCCAAUGUUUGGGGGGGUGUUUAAGCCUCUCUCACUGUGUUGGGCGGGAAGAGAACAACAGGUGAACAGAGAUUUUAAGGAUUUGCCAACCUGCAAUAUUUGAUCAUGUACAGUAGUCUACUGUUGUGAAAUGUGUAUAUCUGUUCCUCUGAUUAAGGCGGCAUCCUAAAUUGCACCCUAUUCCCUAUGUAUCGCAGCCCUAUGGAUCCUGGUCAAAAGCAGUGCAUUAGCGUGCUGUUUGGGGAAACGGAAUGAAGACACCAAUUUAGACCUGCCCAGACAUGGCUGCAGUCACAGACUGUCAACCAAGGUGGCUAUGAUGUCAUCUCAGUCCUGUGUAGUCUACACACCAGGGGCGUUUUAAUAGUUGUUAAGAGUAUUAAUCCCAGAUUAACCACUAGCCUGUGGCUCACAUAGGGAAUAGGGGGCCAUUUAGGGAUGCACACUAUGUAGUGCACUGGACCCUGGUCAAAAGCAGGGCACUACACAGGGAAUAGGGGGCCAUAUGGCUCUCGUACAGUAGGCUACUGAACAACUGGACAUUUGUAGGAUUAUCUCUGUGUUCAAGGUUUGACUAAGUAGUCCAACAAUAUUUAUCUACACUGAACAAAAAUAUAAAUGCAACAUGUAAAGUGUUGGUCACAUGUUUCAUGAGCUGAAAUUUUAAAAAAUCCCAGAUAUUUUCCAUAUGUGCAAAAAGCUUAUUUCUCACCAAUUUUGUGCACAAAUGUGUUUUUAUAUCUCUGUUGGGGAGCAUUUAUCCUUUGCCAAGAUAAUCCAGCCACCUGACAGGUGUGGCAUAUCAAGAAGCUGAUUAAACAGCAUGAUCAUUACACAGGUGCACCUUGUGCUGGGGACAAUAAAAGGCCACUUUAAAAUGUGCAGUUUUGUCACACAACACCACAGCUGUCUCAAGUUUUGAGGGAGUAUGCAAUUGGCAUGCUGACUGCAGGAAUGUCCAUCAGACCUAUUGCCAGGGAAUUGAAUGUUAAUUUCUCUACCGUAAACUGCCUCCAACGUGGUGGUGGUGUGCUGAGAAGUAUUUCUGUCUAUAAUAAAGCCAUUUUCUGGGGAAAAACUAAUUCUGAUUGGCUGGGCCUGGCUCCCCAGUGGCAGUGAUGCAAACUGGUGAGUCCCAAAAAGGUGACACUUUUUUGUGUUACACUGAAACAAAUAAAUCCCUGCUAGGUGGAAAUGCAGGUUUUAACUAAUUAAACAACAAAGAAUAUGAUCUACAUGAUCACUCUCUGUGUAUAAAAUAAAAAGUGGUUCAUGUGAACCUAUCUCAC